GGGGAAUUUUCCGCAAUGGGCGAAAGCCUGACGGAGCAACGCCGCGUGAGGGAUGAAGGCCUCUGGGCUGUAAACCUCUUUUCUCAAGGAAGAAGAUCUGACGGUACUUGAGGAAUAAGCCACGGCUAAUUCCGUGCCAGCAGCCGCGGUAAUACGGGAGUGGCAAGCGUUAUCCGGAAUUAUUGGGCGUAAAGCGUCCGCAGGCGGUCUUGUAAGUCUGUCGUUAAAGCGUGGAGCUUAACUCCAUUUCAGCGAUGGAAACUGCAAGACUAGAGUGUGGUAGGGGCAGAGGGAAUUCCCGGUGUAACGGUGAAAUGCGUAGAUAUCGGGAAGAACACCAGUGGCGAAGGCGCUCUGCUGGGCCAUAACUGACGCUCAUGGACGAAAGCCAGGGGAGCGAAAGGGAUUAGAUACCCCAGUAGUC
This 424-nucleotide ribosomal RNA is filed under the name uncultured cyanobacterium. RNAcentral's name for it is "bacterial SSU rRNA". It matches the Rfam family "Bacterial small subunit ribosomal RNA", at positions 356 to 795 of the family's 1533-position model. Lineage: Bacteria; Bacillati; Cyanobacteriota. The record is from RNAcentral.